GGACCCGCACAAGCGGUGGAGCAUGUGGUUUAAUUCGAUGCAACGCGAAGAACCUUACCUGGUCUUGACAUCCUGAGAACUUUCUAGAGAUAGAUUGGUGCCUUCGGGAACUCAGUGACAGGUGCUGCACGGCUGUCGUCAGCUCGUGUUGUGAAAUGUUGGGUUAAGUCCCGCAACGAGCGCAACCCCUAUUGAUAGUUACCAUCAUUAAGUUGGGUACUCUAUUGAGACUGCCGCUGACAAGGCGGAGGAAGGUGGGGACGACGUCAAGUCAUCAUGGCCCUUACGACCAGGGCUACACACGUGCUACAAUGGAUAUUACAGAGGGCUGCGAUACCGCGAGGUGGAGCGAAACUCAGAAAGGUAUUCUUAGUCCGGAUUGCAGUCUGCAACUCGACUGCAUGAAGCAGGAAUC
This 415-nucleotide ribosomal RNA is filed under the name uncultured bacterium. Its description in RNAcentral is "bacterial SSU rRNA". It matches the Rfam family "Bacterial small subunit ribosomal RNA", at positions 917 to 1333 of the family's 1533-position model. The record is from RNAcentral.